GAUGAACGCUAGCGGCAGGCCUAACACAUGCAAGUCGAGGGAGAAGCCCUUUCAGGGGCAGAAACCGGCGCACGGGUGCGUAACGCGUAUGCAACCUACCUUUCACAGGGGGAUAGCCCGAAGAAAUUUGGAUUAAUACCCCAUAAUAUUAUUGGAUGGCAUCAUUUGAUAAUUAAAACUGCGGUGGUGAAAGAUGGGCAUGCGUCCUAUUAGCUAGUUGGAGUGGUAACGGCACCCCAAGGCUACGAUAGGUAGGGGUCCUGAGAGGGAGAUCCCCCACACUGGUACUGAGACAGGGACCAGACUCCUACGGGAGGCAGCAGUGAGGAAUAUUGGUCAAUGGUCGGAAGACUGAACCAGCCAUGCCGCGUGCAGGAAGAAUGCCUUAUGGGUUGUAAACUGCUUUUAUAUGGGAAGAAUAAGGCGUACGUGUACGUUGAUGACGGUACCAUAUGAAUAAGCAUCGGCUAACUCCGUG
This 478-nucleotide ribosomal RNA is filed under the name uncultured bacterium. Its description in RNAcentral is "partial 16S ribosomal RNA". It matches the Rfam family "Bacterial small subunit ribosomal RNA", at positions 28 to 507 of the family's 1533-position model. The record is from RNAcentral.